RNAcentral lists this ribosomal RNA (503 nucleotides) under uncultured bacterium. Its description in RNAcentral is "bacterial SSU rRNA". It matches the Rfam family "Bacterial small subunit ribosomal RNA", at positions 8 to 507 of the family's 1533-position model. The record is from RNAcentral.
AGAGUUUGAUCCUGGCUCAGGAUGAACGCUAGCGGCAGGCUUAAUACAUGCAAGUCGAGGGGCAGCACGGGUAGCAAUACCUGGUGGCGACCGGCAAACGGGUGCGGAACACGUACGCAACUUUCCCAAAACUGGUGAAUAGCCCUCGAAAGGAGGAUUAAUACACCGUAACAUAAUGAAGUGGCAUCACUUUAUUAUUAUAGCUCCGACGGUUUUGGAUGGGCGUGCGCCUGAUUAGAUAGUUGGCGGGUAACGGCCCACCAAGCCUUCGAUCAGUAACUGGUGUGAGAGCACGACCAGUCACACGGGCACUGAGACACGGGCCCGACUCCUACGGGAGGCAGCAGUAAGGAAUAUUGGUCAAUGGACGCAAGUCUGAACCAGCCAUGCCGCGUGAAGGAUGAAGGUCCUCUGGAUUGUAAACUUCUUUUAUCUGGGACGAAAAAAAGGGAAUUCUUUCUCACUUGACGGUACCAGAGGAAUAAGCACCGGCUAACUCCGUG